UGGCAUGGUAUGCCAAUCACAUUACCCGAGGAUCUGAAUGUAUAGCUGUCAAAAUCUUGUAAUAUGUUCUAUUGCAUUAUUUUUUCAGUUGUUCAUCACACUCAGAUAAGCACACAUCAAACUAAUUUUGUUUAGUUUCCGGCUUCUGUUUGUUUUCUGAAAUUUUACGGAUCAAAAAUGUGUAGCCCUUGUGGAUCGUGCUGCAGUCCCUGCUGCGGUCCGUGCUGCAGUCCUUGCUGCAGUCCUUGCUGCGGUCCGUGCUGCGGUCCUUGCUGCGGUCCUUGCUGUGGACCCUGCUGUGGACCCUGCUGUGAGCCGUGCUGUGAGCCGUGCUGUGGACCCUGCUAUGGACCCAAUGUCUGCGGACCGUGCGGUGCAACGGGACCCUGUGGAGGCUGUUGCUGAGCAAUAGGAAUUGCAAACGACAGGGUCUAAACCUUCCAUCACAAGUCCGAUGAAACCUACAGAAAGCUUGAAGCUAUCGUGUAGUCUCUACGAAUAAAGCAUUUACAAACACAAAAAUUUCACUAAUCACUAA
Long non-coding RNA from Drosophila pseudoobscura, 538 nucleotides. RefSeq lists it as uncharacterized. Lineage: Eukaryota; Metazoa; Arthropoda; Insecta; Diptera; Drosophilidae. The record is from RefSeq and is a predicted model, not a curated record. The transcript has 2 exons.